GAAAUACUUCGCCAACAUAUCGAUUAAGACUGCUUUGAAAUUCAGACAUCUGGGCUAUUCCAGCACAUUCGACAAUCGAUGAUAAGACAUAUUCACGCCUGAUUGAAACUGGAAAUGCUCACUUCAAGCAAUUUCACUGAAGAAUCCAUCCUUGCUGUACUUCUCAUAUACAGUCGGGCACUCUGUAUAUGUAUCCGUUAAUUAUAUGUGUAAUUGAAGAUACAUAAAUUAUCUUCUUAAAUAAACUUUUAAAAAAUA
Long non-coding RNA from Vespa crabro (European hornet), 258 nucleotides. RefSeq lists it as uncharacterized. The transcript is spliced from 2 exons. NCBI's taxonomy places the organism in Eukaryota, Metazoa, Arthropoda, Insecta, Hymenoptera, Vespidae. The record is from RefSeq and is a predicted model, not a curated record.